Molecule: ribosomal RNA, 508 nt
Filed under: uncultured bacterium
Lineage: Bacteria
Description: bacterial SSU rRNA
Rfam family: Bacterial small subunit ribosomal RNA
Source: RNAcentral
AAAGGAAUUGACGGGCACCCGCACAAGCGGUGGAGCAUGCUGUUUAAUUCGAAGAUACGCGAAAAACCUUACCUAGAUUUGACAUCCUUGGGAAGCGGUUUACUGUGAAGGCAAUGUUAUAGAAAUAUAGCGGAGCACAUCCGAGUGACAGGUGGUGCAUGGUUGUCGUCAGCUCGUGUCGUGAGAUGUUUGGUUAAGUCCAAUAACGAGCGCAACCCUCAUCUUUAGUUGCUAACAUUUAGUUGAGUUCUCUAAAGAGACUGCCAGUGUAAGCUGGAGGAAGGUGGGGAUGACGUCAAAUCAUCAUGCCCCUUACAUCUAGGGCUACAGGCGUGCUACAAUGGCCGAUACAACGAGUUGCGACGUAGUGAUACGAAGCUAAUCUCUUAAAGUCGGUCUCAGUCCGGAUUGGAGUCUGCAAUUCGACUCCAUGAAGUUGGAAUCGCUAGUAAUCCCGAAUCAGAAUGUCGGGGUGAAUACGUUCCCGGGUGUUGCACACACCGCCCGU